ACGACCGUACCGCAAACCGACACUGGUGCGCGAGAUGAGUAUUCUAAGGCGCUUGAGAGAACUCAGGAGAAGGAACUCGGCAAAUUGACACCGUAACUUCGGAAGAAGGUGUGCCUUUAGUAGGUGAACCUGUACAAGGGGAGCCCAAUGAGGUUGCAAAAAAUCGGUGGCUGCGACUGUUUAAUAAAAACACAGCACUCUGCAAACACGAAAGUGGACGUAUAGGGUGUGACGCCUGCCCCGUGCUGGAAGAUUAAAUGAUGGGGUGCAAGCUCUUGAUUGAAGUCCCAGUAAACGGCGGCCGUAACGAUAACGGUCCUAAGGUAGCGAAAUUCCUUGUCGGGUAAGUUCCGACCUGCACGAAUGGCGUAACGAUGGCCACACUGUCUCCUCCUGAGACUCAGCGAAGUUGAAAUGUUUGUGAUGAUGCAAUCUCCCCGCGGAAAGACGGAAAGACCCCAUGAACCUUUACUGUAGCUUUGUAUUGGACUUUGAACAGAUCUGUGUAGGAUAGGUGGGAGGCUUUGAAGUGUGGUCGCUAGAUCGCAUGGAGCCAACGCUGAAAUACCACCCUGGUGUGUUUGAGGUUCUAACCUAGGCCCGUAAUCCGGGUCGGGGACAGUGCAUGGUAGGCAGUUUGACUGGGGCGGUCUCCUCCCAAAGCGUAACGGAGGAGUUCGAAGGUACGCUAGGUACGGUCGGACAUCGUGCUAAUAGUGCAAUGGCAUAAGCGUGCUUAACUGCGAGACUGACAAGUCGAGCAGAUGCGAAAGCAGGACAUAGUGAUCCGGUGGUUCUGUAUGGAAGGGCCAUCGCUCAACGGAUAAAAGGUACUCUGGGGAUAACAGGCUGAUACCGCCCAAGAGUUCAUAUCGACGGCGGUGUUUGGCACCUCGAUGUCGGCUCAUCUCAUCCUGGGGCUGUAGCCGGUCCCAAGGGUAUGGCUGUUCGCCAUUUAAAGAGGUACGUGAGCUGGGUUUAAAAUGUCGUGAGACAGUUUGGUCCCUAUCUUCCGUGGGCGCUGCAGAUUUGAGGAAGCCAGCUCCUAGUACGAGAGGACCGGAGUGGACACACCUCUGGUGUAUCGGUUGUCACGCCAGUGGCAUUGCCGAGUAGCUAUGUGUGGAAGAGAUAACCGCUGAAAGCAUCUAAGCGGGAAACUCGUUUCAAGAUGAGAUCUGCCGGGGCCUUGAGCCCCCUAAAGAGUCGUUCAAGACCAGGACGUUGAUAGGUCGGGUGUGGAAGCGCAGUAAUGCGUUAAGCUAACCGAUACUAAUUGCUCGUGCGGCUUGACCU
RNAcentral lists this ribosomal RNA (1296 nucleotides) under metagenome. Its description in RNAcentral is "bacterial LSU rRNA". It matches the Rfam family "Bacterial large subunit ribosomal RNA", at positions 1638 to 2925 of the family's 2925-position model. The record is from RNAcentral.